This 301-nucleotide ribosomal RNA is filed under the name uncultured bacterium. RNAcentral's name for it is "partial 16S ribosomal RNA". It matches the Rfam family "Bacterial small subunit ribosomal RNA", at positions 509 to 807 of the family's 1533-position model. The record is from RNAcentral.
CAGCAGCCACGGUAAUACGAAGGGGGCUAGCGUUGCUCGGAAUGACUGGGCGUAAAGGGCGCGUAGGCGGCGAUCAAAGUCAGGCGUGAAAUUCCUGGGCUCAACCUGGGGGCUGCGCUUGAUACUGGGUUGCUUGAGUGGGGAAGAGGGUCGUGGAAUUCCCAGUGUAGAGGUGAAAUUCGUAGAUAUUGGGAAGAACACCGGUGGCGAAGGCGGCGACCUGGUUCAUAACUGACGCUGAGGCGCGAAAGCGUGGGGAGCAAACAGGAUUAGAUACCCCUGUAGUCCCUGUCUCUUAUAC